CCUACGGGAGGCAGCAGUGAGGAAUAUUGGUCAAUGGCCGGAAGGCUGAACCAGCCAUGCCGCGUGAAGGUCAGUGCCCUAUGGGCGUUAAACUUCUUUUGUGCGGGAGCAAUAAUGGUCACGUGUGGCCAGACGAGAGUACCGUACGAAUAAGCAUCUGCUAACUGCGUGCCAGCAGCGGCGGUAAUACGGGGGAUGCAAGCGUUAUCCGCAUUUAUGUGGUUUAAAGGGUGCGUAGGCUGUGAGGUAAGUCAGCGGUGAAAUGCCCCCGCUCAACGGGGUGAAGUUCCAUUGAUACUGACUUGCUGGAAUGCGGAUGCCGUGGGAGGAAUGUGUGGUGUAGCGGUGAAAUGCAUAGAUAUCACACAGAACACCGAUUGCGAAGGCAUCUCACGAAUCCGCGAUUGACGCUGAUGCACGAAAGCGUGGGUAUCAAACAGGAUUAGAUACCCCAGUAGUC
RNAcentral lists this ribosomal RNA (460 nucleotides) under uncultured bacterium. RNAcentral's name for it is "partial 16S ribosomal RNA". It matches the Rfam family "Bacterial small subunit ribosomal RNA", at positions 338 to 795 of the family's 1533-position model. The record is from RNAcentral.